This 1807-nucleotide long non-coding RNA is filed under the name Olea europaea subsp. europaea. Lineage: Eukaryota; Viridiplantae; Streptophyta; Magnoliopsida; Lamiales; Oleaceae. The record is from RNAcentral.
CUAGGGGCUUUUCUUUUUCUGCAAUUUUUGGGCAGCGGCUAGAUCUUCUUCACUGCCGUUUAUUUUGUUUUAUUUUCUUUCCCUUUUUUAUUUUCUUUUUCUUCCAUCUUUUAGCUUGGUUUCCUUGUAUAUUUUGGAGAAAAUUUGGCGCAUGAUUAUGAUGAAAUAGCUUGGAGAAGAAGAUGAUUUGAUAUUGAAGAAACCCUCAACUAUUUCUCCAUUAUGAAUAAGCUUUUCUUUCCCUAUUUUCCAUUAUUGUGUUGUAGGAAUUUGACGGUUAUUUGUGAAUAUUUCAUGGGUAACUAAAUAUAUAUGUGAUUGGGGAUUAUUUCAAACUCGAGUUAUGAUUUUCAAUUAAUUUGUGCUUUAUAGUUCUCUUGAUUGACGUAUUUAAUUCCUCGAGUUAAAUGUUUAUUUUGUUCUUCUUGAUUGUUUAGGUGUACAACUAAAUGAUUAAGUUGUUACGAUAAAUGCUAUUUUGAGAUUAGUAGUACGUAAUAGCUAUUGAUUUUAAAACAUAAUAGCAAUCACAUUUCGAUAGAUUAUGAAGAAUUUUCAAUUGAAUGUAUGUGGAUUAACACUUAAGUUAGUAAACUGAGCUUGCGAGUUUACUCUUAAUUCAAUUCAUCUCUUUUGUCGUAAUGCGUUUGUUAAAUUAAAUCUAGAGAGCUUGUUCUAGGUUGUUUAAUGCAUAGGGUCGAGUAAAGAGCUUGUUUUAUUCGACUAACAUGUAAUAAGAGGUUGAGAUAAUUUAGCUUGUAAUUAUUCUCGAAUUGUUAUUAAUCUUGAGAAUGAAAAUCUAUUGUGGUAAUUGACAUGAAAAUCAUUCUUGUGGUGAUGAAAUAUCCCCCAAUCACAUUUUCUCGUAUUCAAUCGAAACCACUUUGUUUAUUUCAAGUUUCAAAUAUUCUCUAUUUCGAAUUUAUCACUUUACUUAAUUAAAUGAACCAACCCCCCCCCCCCCCCAUUUAAUCAAUUUCGUAUAUAAUCGCUAAUUUUACUUUUUAGUACGCAAUUGACAAAAUUGAACCAAUCCUCUGCGAGAAAUGACCCUUACUUACCAUUUUACUAUUUAAGACGACACUUUUAAGUUAAAGUAAGGAAAAGUAAUUGGAACAUGAUUUGCAACGUAUCAUACCACUAAGAAGGCCCAUCUGUGUCUCUUGUUCCUCAAAAUACCAGAUUAGUAAGAUUGACGGAGAGAUUUUCAGAAACUAUAAUUGAUAAGUGUAAAAAAUUUUCAGGUGACUCAAGAGUGCUGCGAGCUCAUUGGUAACAUAAACUACACAUACAUUGAACACCACCUGCGGGUUGUGUUUCUAAUACUUAUGGGGUAGAGAAAUUUAUGUUGAUAAUAAGGAUUAUGUUAGUGCAAAGGAUGUUUAUCAUUUUUAUCACAUGAGUGAGAAAUAGUUUGCAGUGACCUUUUCAUUUGCCUUGAUAUUCUGGAUGCUUUUCCUAUUGCCACUGAUGUAUAAGGGGUUAACUUUUUAAUGUUGGCCGGUCUGUCAAAAAACUUAUAUUCUUCAACAGAUACAUAUAUACCAUUAUUCUAAUCUCUUUGCAUUAGGUUAUGUGGGUUCCCGAUAGUUUUGAAAUUGGCAUGGUAGCUGAGAAGCUUGGAAAGUCACGAAAAUAUCAAGCAGUUUUGUGUAUUGGAGCUUUGGUAUGCUUUUCUUUCACAAGUUCCAAAUGUGCUGAUGUUUUAUAUUCUUUUAUUUUGCACGUCUCCCGCAAUUUGCAUUCAUAGUUAUUGUUUGCAUGUUCUGCCAUAGCUUAAGGUCAUCAUUUUUUUGCUUCAAUUACC